Molecule: ribosomal RNA, 466 nt
Filed under: uncultured bacterium
Lineage: Bacteria
Description: partial 16S ribosomal RNA
Rfam family: Bacterial small subunit ribosomal RNA
Source: RNAcentral
GACGAACGCUGGCGGCGUGCUUAACACAUGCAAGUCGAACGGAAAGGCCCAGCUUGCUGGGUACUCGAGUGGCGAACGGGUGAGUAACACGUGGGUGAUCUGCCCCUGACUUUGGGAUAAGCCUGGGAAACUGGGUCUAAUACCGGAUAUGACCUUACAUCGCAUGGUGUUUGGUGGAAAGCUUUUGCGGUUGGGGAUGGGCCCGCGGCCUAUCAGCUUGUUGGUGGGGUAAUGGCCUACCAAGGCGACGACGGGUAGCCGACCUGAGAGGGUGAUCGGCCACACUGGGACUGAGACACGGCCCAGACUCCUACGGGAGGCAGCAGUGGGGAAUAUUGCACAAUGGGCGCAAGCCUGAUGCAGCGACGCCGCGUGAGGGAUGACGGCCUUCGGGUUGUAAACCUCUUUCACCAGGGACGAAGCGUGAGUGACGGUACCUGGAGAAGAAGCACCGACCAACUACGUG